RNAcentral lists this transfer RNA (70 nucleotides) under Acidobacteriota bacterium. RNAcentral's name for it is "Acidobacteria bacterium tRNA-Lys". It matches the Rfam family "tRNA". From Rfam's summary of the family: Transfer RNA (tRNA) molecules are approximately 80 nucleotides in length. Their secondary structure includes four short double-helical elements and three loops (D, anti-codon, and T loops). Lineage: Bacteria; Pseudomonadati; Acidobacteriota. The record is from RNAcentral.
UAGAGCGUGGUAGCGAUCGAGCGCCCUUUUAAGGCAUGGGUCGCAGGUUCGAAUCCUGCCGCGCUCACCA